This 11499-nucleotide long non-coding RNA is filed under the name Homo sapiens (human). Its description in RNAcentral is "non-protein coding LINC01105:21". The record is from RNAcentral. Lineage: Eukaryota; Metazoa; Chordata; Mammalia; Primates; Hominidae.
AGUGUUUUGACGACUGCCUCACUAAAGGAAGCUAAAAGCUGUGCUGAUGCCUCCCAGACGAGCCUCGUUGGAAGCACAGAACCUUCACGGCUCGGAGCCGCUGACACCGUGACAAAGGGAGCCCUGCUCAGGAGAAAGAGCAAAUGAGAGGCAGUUGCACUUUUUCAGGUGUCAGGCUGGAGGAAGCCACUUGAAGAUGAAUCUACCUCUGCCUUAGGAUUGCCUGAUGGCCUGUGCCAUUCCAUGUUAUAUCUACUGAUUUGCUCCCUGUAUUCAAAGAUUUUUUUUUUUUACUUAAUUCUCUCUUACUGACCCUGAGAGUGACCAUAUUUUUAACCAAUUUGGUCUUCAGCCUCAAAACUUAGCUCUUUCCUUUUGUGGUCCCCGAAUCCUAUCACGUGUCAUGGUGGCUGUGAAGAUGUUUGCCAAGCCUGCUGAGAAGGCUCAUCUGUGGCAUCCAAAAGCAGAGAUUUCAACUCUGGACCCCUGUGACCUGCCUUUGUAAUUAUGGAUACCCAGCACUGUUUUGAAAUAUCAGUGGACAUCCAGUUUUUAAAAGCCCUCAGAGCUUUGGGAGACACCCCUUUAUCUCUCUGGCAUGUCAGAGAACCGAUUCAACCCUUCUCAUCUCCUCCUCCUUCCCUCUCUUGGGCCAUCAGGAUGCGGCAGCAACUCACUGUGCAUGUUUUUACAGCUCUUCUCCAGUAAUGCUGCCAUUUCCACUGCAGACCACAGGAUAAAAGGACCGCUUCACCGUGGCCCAGGAUACCCUUUUAAGUAGGAGGCUCAGUUGGAUCUCCAAGUGGCGGUACCGUUCUCUCCACUUCAAAAAUACACAGAAACAUGUGGAAAUGUUCUGUCAUCCAGAAUGAAAAGCAUGUGCACCAAAUUUUCACAGACCUGAUUCGAAUGUAGAUAAAAGUGCAAAAUCCAGAGGAGGGAACACGCUAUAGAAAUCCUGUCUUCUAUACUAUAAUUUAAUCAUCGUGUGCCACAGAAUGUCUUUGCAUAAAUUACAACCACAAUAAUAGCAUCACUUUCACAAAAGGUGGCCUCUAAUCGAUUUGACUCUCCAAGAGAUGGCUGGGUUUUUCAAAGCAGAGAAAUGAUGACCUGCAGUCUUAAAGAGCUGUUGAUUGCACCUGGGGCUCCCGUGGCCGGCGCCCAUCGAGCAGCCCAUCCUGGCUGUUCCCUUGUUCAGCUGAUUUUCUUUUUUAUCUUGACAUUUGCUAACCGCUUGGUUUUUAUUUUCCGGGAAGAGAGGAUUAUUGGCAACUGGCACCACCCCCAUGUCUGGAGGAGGGACGUUUCUAGGAUGACCCCCAGAGUGGAGAAAUAGCCGAGGUAACCUUUUUGCUAUAAAUUUCUUCCCCUGCCUCCGUCUUCUGUUCCUUUCCUUCCCCCCAUCCCUUGAACAAACAUGAUUUUUAAAUUCCCCUCAUCAUUUUUAGUGCUUUGGAGUCUUCUCAGAUGUGGACGAAAACAGUUCGUGAGCUGCGCUGAGCAGUUCCGGAGCCCUGGCUCCCUUUCCCCGGGGCCUAAGCCCCCAAGAAGAGAGUCUUUUUCAGGACCAUGGGAGCAGGUUUUAAAAGGCUUUCUAUUGAAGCGAGGCCGUCAGCCAGCCGUGCGUGUCCGCAUUGUGGUGGUCCCAGAGCCUUAUGGACAAUCCUUUGAAAGAAUAGGGUUGGGAAGAUUCUCAGGACAGAAGCGGCUAAUUUCCAUCCUUGGAGCUUUAUCUCACAAAGGAUAUUUGAUAGAAAGAAAAAAUGGAGUCUGUGGAAGCUUUGCUCCUAUUUCCAAAUGGGUUGACUCUGGAUGCAAAGGAAUAUUUUCACAUUUUUCCCAAUAGAGGAAAGCUUUUAGUGCCAAAAUCCUCAAAGGAGAAUGAACAUCACACAUUACACAUGUAUGUAUAAGGGUAGAAUAAUAUGGUACAAAAUCCAGUGAGUACAAGCACACAAUGGGCAUUCAGUACAGGUUAAAUGAAUAUGCAAGAAAAAUUCAAAGUUGUUGUUGCUGUUUAUAAGGGUGGUGAUUAUUAAUAGAUGCAAAUGUAUACUCCCUUUUGUAAUCACAGCAAGGUAAAAGUCUUAUCUCUGAUCAUUACCAUGAGGACACUUAAAUAUUUAGCCCUGGGGACAAAAUGGUUUGUAGGCAGGACGUCCUGUGUGUUUAUGCACACAUAAAAUGCCGCCCUGGCCCCAGGACUGCAAGGCCUCUGACUGCAUCAUUUACAUUCAGGGGUGGUCCUGAUCAACAUGGCCCCAUAGAAUAAUAGAGGGAAUUUCAGAUAGUACAGCGUUAGAUAAUAAGCGCUUUCCACUGACUCUGUUUACAUGUGGAAAUUAGAAGCGCUGAGUGAAAAAGAGUAGUGAAAAUAAAGACAGGAAGUAUAUACACAACAAACAAUUUUUCCUCUCUGCAAAUCGGAUUAUUCCCUUGCGCACCCCCUGCAACCCCCAUCUAUGAUGUCAAACUCAAUGGACUGUUGAACUAAUAGCCUGGGAGUCACCAGCGUGAGAGUGUGUAUGUCCACGCUGUGCAACUUGAAUUAGGCUGGCCACCACGGCUGUGUACAGCUACCCCAGGAAGAGCCCCUCCCCUCCUCAGCAUUUCAGUGGAAAACGUGCUGACUGGGACCCAGCUACAGGAAUCACAUUUGGGCAGAGAGAAUGGCUUAUCCUUUUCAUGAGGGGUCUUGACUCAAGAACACUUGCCAAUUCUGCUUGACCGUUUCCCAUUCUUUACGGUUUUUCCUAUCACUCCUUAGACUAAGAAAGAAAAAUCUGUAGGAAUGAUUCGGUGGGAUUUCUCUUUUGUUCCUAAAUAAACCUUAUCCCUGGAUGAGCUCGUUCACACUAGGGAAGUUACUACCACUGGCUUUGAAGCCAGGCAGAUCUGGGUGUUCCUUCCCAUGUCUUUAUUUGCUUUGUGGGGGAUCUUUUCCCAGCCUUUCUGCUUUCAUCCUUCUUAGUGAGAGCUUCUUCAGCUGCAGAACAGGGGCAAUAAUGCCUACCUUGCUGGGUUGCAGCAGAGAAUGCUGCUUAUGCAGGAAAAUAAAAAAACACAUAGCACACAAUGGGAGCUUAAUACAUAAGAAUUAUAAACAGUCUUUUGUGUAUAUAUCAAUGUAUUUCAUGUCCUUAAUGUUUAUUUAAAGCAAGUACAUUCUUUUGAAUUAAGCAUAAAAAGGUCAUAAAAUGCCAGAGAUGUGCUUAUUUGAAAUGUUUGCAAUGCUUUGCAAUUGUUUUAAAAUAAGGAGAUGAUAUAACAGGGUGUUACCUCCGCCACUAAUUAGUUACGUAAUCUUAGAUUAUGUCACUUCCCUGGGUCUCAGUUGUAAACAGUUGCUUAAUAAAUAAUGUUUGUUUUGCUUUCAUCAAUAAUCCAGAAUUAGGCAGUGAAAUAUGGAAGCUACAUUGGUAGGAGCUUCUGUGAUGGUCAGGUCCUGGAGGAAAGUGUGAGUUGGAACCUCCACCUUCCUCCCUACCAACGCCCUCCAGAAACACUGCUCACUGGAUGCAGGGGCGCUUCUCCUGUUUCUAGUUCACUUGGUCUAGAGGCCAGCCAGGUAGGAGUCAUCCUGUUCUUGGAGGCAAUGUGGCCCAGACCCAGGCUCUAGCAGCAGGUCUGACUGCAGCACUUUCUCCCUCGGGGUGGCUCCCAGUCCCAGUGUGGUGGGCCCACCCUUCCUUACCACCAGGCGCCUCUCCUGGAAGCUGCGAAAACCUUCCCCCCUUUCAGGCACUGGGAAUCAGCAUUCUUUGGCGUAUGCCUGGAUUUGCCCCAGAAUUAUCCUGCAAAGUCUCUCCCCUCCUGACCUCAAAUGUUCCUGUCCCUACAACCAGACGGUAGACCCCAGGGCCUCCGGGGCUCCUUCCAGUGCCUCCUUGUCAUCUUUUGAAUCACAGCUCAUGAGGCAACCCACACAGGCAGGCUGGAGAGGAGUGGCAAGAAGCUCACCUUCGGACAGUAGUGAGCAGAGCAACAGAGGCCCCCAGAGACUUCGCACAACGGAAAAGAGAUCAACUCCCGCAUUUGCAGGGGACGUGAAAGUGCAAUACUGUGAGGAACAAAAGGAAGCCUCAUCUCUGGAAGCCGGGAGGAAAAACAGUCGGUGUAGACAGCAGCGGCAGGGACCAGAGCUGACCAGAAGGCUGGGUCCCAGCAACAAUUAGAGACAGGCAGCAGCUGAGGCCCCUUCUCUGAGAACCAUUUCAAUUGCACAGUGGCCACAGAAGGCUCCAUUGGCCCGGCAGCCAGCUCUGCAGAGCCAUUUGUCCACAAGGAAAAUAAUAGCCCCGGCCUCAUUGCUUUGGGCUGCAGGGAGGACAAUGACCCACCAUGAAAAGAGUUAAAAAGAUUCUGGGGAAGGGGAAAGGCAGGCCCACACGGUGGCAAUUCAAGAUCUUUUGGAUGCCGUGAGCGUGUUCUUUAAUUAAGCCCCUCUUCUUCAGCUCAUCCUGCAGAAACGCACCUGCUUCCCAUCUGCCAUCCAAAACGGCAAGCACAAGAAUGACUUCACACUGUCACUUUCAGAGUUCCGCUGUGGCCCACAGUGAUUUUUCAAGAAAGGCAGCCACAGACUCGCUCGCGCUUUCUCUUUCUCCUUUCCUCUGAAAGACUCUAUAAAAACCACAUUAAAAAGUGUGUGAGCCAAGCAAUUUCAUUUAUCAAAGGAAGAAGGUCAUCCAUAGCAUUCAUUCUAAGAAUAUCAGGCACACGGCCAGCCCUGGACACAAGGCAUGAAGACCAGAGGGCCCUUUAUUGACCUAAUCUCUAUUUUGUCGCCAAACUGCAUCUGUGUCUGAAAGCUGGGACACACAAUAUUUCCCUCUACCAAAAUAAUUUUAUUUUCUGCAGCAGCAUGUAACAAACAAUUAAUGGUGGUAACAUGGGCUUCUGUCAUUUUCUGAACAACCCAGUUCUGUUUGGUGUUACUGCAGUGGUUGUUAUUUUGGGUGGUUCUGUGCUUAUUCCAUUCUGCCAAUUGGUCCCAUUCGCAUGGGCGUGAGCCCGUGCCGUCAUCUACCACCUUGGAAUCCAUGUUAUUGCCAGAACUGUGUGGGGCCUUGCUUGAGGGCCUGUCCCCUGUCCUCUUCACAGAUGUUUCUGUGCCUUCAGGGAGAGGACUGAUUGUGCUGUCUCCCUCUCCCACCCGUGUCUGCUGUCUCCAAAACUAAGGGAGGCUGCGGUGAAACCAGCCUGGCCCAGGUUCCUCUGGUGCCUGCCGUGGCUCAAAUUAUCCAAACUACAGUGGCUGAUUCCCAGCGACCCAUCCCUUAGUGCCCUUGUGCCCCGUUGAAGAAGUGGCCCAUGUUAUGAAUAGGGAAGCUAAGGUCAUUAAGAAUUUGUGCAGGCGUACAAAGAAAGUGCAAGUCAGAGAUCCUUGUCUCAGCUACUUUGCUUGAAAAAUGACUCCAUGCUCUGAGAUGCUAUAAAUGGAGCAAACAGUGUGAAGUGGUUCUCCCCCUCCAAGAAACUGCCCCCUGAUGCGUUCCCCCAUUAGACACCUGCUCCUCCAAGCCUGGUCUUCUCUCUGCAACCACUUCCCCUAUGCCUCUCCCCACCCACCAUGCAUGACUCCUUGUCACACACAUGAUCUCUGGUCCUACCUUGCACUUGGUGCUGGGGGCUGUGAUUCCCUCUGCCUCUGUCUCCCCACAUCGUCCCUGACAUCACCUUUCACCGUGCACUGGUCUCGCUUCCUCGGGAACUCUAUGAAUGGCCUUGUUCUCUGAUUAUUUGAUUAUUCCAUUAUCAACCCAAAGCUCACUGGGUCUAUGGGGCUGAGAGGUCGUUUUUAUUACAUCAUUUUAAUUAUUCAGAUAAAAGACUCGCAGGCACAGAUUUAUCACCACUGCCUAAAGAAAAGCAGAGACACACAUAAUUCCAUUUUGAAAAUCCAUUCUUAAAAGCAAAAAUAUGAUUCAGUUGAAGGUAUUCAGAAAAAAAAAUGCUCAUUGAAAAACCCUGAUGAUUUUUAGCAUUUCAAAUAAAUUGUGUACAGUUACGGUCAUUUGUUAACUAUUUUGGAGACUGCGAGCUGAUCAUUAUCUCUCUUUUUCAGAUAACAAAAUGUAUCUACCUUCUCCCAGAGUGUAAACUAAUCUGGUGGCUGGAAAAAGCAAACAAACAAACAAAGAUCUGUUAAGAAAGAUCUGAUUUUUCAAAUGGCGCAUACCAUUCCUUGAAACAGAGGUGAUGAAUAGGUAGAGACAAAAGCAUCAAACAUCCAGGCAGGACCUGUUUAUCUCUGGGCAGAAAUCUGUUCAAUUCCAUGAUAAAACAAGGUUUGAAGUCAGGGAUUCAAUUUCACAAACUAAACAGACGUGUGCACACACAUGUGCACACUGUGCAUGUCCCAGUGCACACACGCAGAACCCAUUUCGUAGGGACACACAUGUGCACACUGCAUGCCCCAGUGCACACACGCACAACCCAUUUCGUAGGGACACACAUGUGCACACUGCAUGCCCCAGUGCACACACACACAACCCAUUUCAUAGGGACACACGUGCACACUGCAUGCCCCAGUGCACACACGCACAACCCAUUUCGUAGGGACACACAUGUGCACACUGCAUGCCCCAGUGCACACACGCACAACCCAUUUCGUAGGGACACACAUGUGCACACUGCAUGCCCCAAUGCACAGACACACAACCCAUUUUGUAGGGUCCUAGCAGAAUUUUCUCUGUAGGAAAAGCACUCAAUCUUGCUGAUUUGUGGCUGUUUCUCCGGUUUGCAUCAGGUUGGGCCUCAUGACACAGGACUGGCCUAAGCAUUAGGUCAGAGCUGGAAUAUGCCAAGUCUUCCCCAUCCCUUCUCCAUUCCCAGGGCUGAGUAGUGGUUAGAAGGGCGAGCACAACACACCCAGACACUUAUCCCCUCUAUGUCUUCUGCCUUUCCUCUUUCCCCUGUAGGUGUUUCUUCUUAGAGUAGCUUUUUAAUCAUGCUCACUGGUUGUCUGCUUCUUAAGACUGGCCAUGUUUCACAAUUCUUCCAAUUGCAUUACUUCCCCUAAGGCUCUCCCUUUUCCUGGAUAUCUCAUUGACACCUGUAUUAGAGUUUUCCAGAGAAACAGGACCAAUAGCAUAUAUAGGAAUAUGCAGAAAGAUAUUUAUGAUGAGAGAUUGGCUCAAGUAAUGGUGGAGACAGAGAAGUCCCACCGUCUGCCACCUGAGAGCUAGAGGCCCAGCAAAGCUGGUGGUGGUGUUCCAGUCCAGGCCCAAAGGCCUGAGAACCAGGAUCACUGACAUGCAAGGACAGAUGAAGAUGGAUGUCUCAGGUCAAGCAGAGAGGAAAUUCACCCAUCCUCUACCUUUUUGUUCUAUUCAAGCACUUAACAGAUUGCAUGGUGCCCAUCCACAUUGGUGAGGGUGAUCUUCUUUGCUCAGCUUACUGAAUCAAAUGCCAAACUCUUCCAGAAGGACCUUCACAGGUAUGCUCAGUAGGAAAGUUUUACCAGGUAUCUGGGCAUCCCUAAGACCAGUCACAUCAACUAAACCAUCACAACACCUAAGACUUGAAUUUCCAAUUGUCUUCUGGUGUUUGUAAAACACUGUUAGGGAGCUCAUCCCUCUCUGUUGAAUCCUGGACAGUUUCAAAGCCUGCUGGUCAGCUCUGUCCCAUUCUGCAGGCAUCACGACCUCCAACCAUCCAAAUAAAGUAAGUGUCCUUGCUUGCUCUACUUCUGAUCUGUCCUUCACAUCCUGCGUCUUCUCCAAAUUACCUAUGUGUAAUCUAUGGCAUUCUCACAAUUAGCCCAAACUGGCGAUCCAGUCCCUACACACACACACACAAACACAGACCCUAAAUUCCCUUAAUCUGUUUACUGAAUCUGCUUCUUCUUCUGCUGAAACAUUUCUGGAAUCCCCCUUUCCUCUCAUGCACCGCCAUUGCCCAAGUUUAGGUAUUCAUCAAUUCUUGCCAAUGUGAUUUCUAAUGCACCUAAUGGGUUUCUUAUAUCCAGGUACCCCCUUACUCUCCAGUCUGUCUUCCACUCUGCCCCUAGACUUGUUUUUCAUAUAUAAAGCUCUUAUUUUCCAGCACAUAUAAAAUAAGCUUCUUAGCAGGGCACUCGAGGCUUUGCAAAUGUGCUGUCAACCACUCCAUGCACCUGUGCAGAUUCCUAGUCGCUAUUCCCCUCUCUUCAACACUCAUGGCCCAUCCCCAAGAGGCUGCCUUCAGGCCUUUUCAUCUUUGCACAUGUCCCUCCACUAGGAAUGCCUUUCCUCUCCCAGGCUUGGCAAAGUACAUUUUCAAGGCCUCUUGUAGUGCUGUGCGCUGUAUGCUGCAGGUGAUAUGCCCCAUGCUUCAGGCAGUUUGGUCUUGUAAGUGCAAGUAAGGGGCUUAUCACAAGCCCUCUCACUUGCCUUGAACUCGGGAUGUCUGACCCUUUCUCAUGUGUAGCUUGGUGCAGGCUCAGAGUAGAAUGAGGUAGGUGGGCAGUGCUGAACAUGGAGAUGGUUCUGGGGAGCUUCUGUGUGACUAAUAUCGCAAGGCCUCAGAUAAAGCCCCCUGCAACCUCUCCUUUCCCUAACUGGUCUGAGCCAGGGGAAAUGGCAUCCUUGCCGUCAUCACUACCAUGCUGUGUUCCUAUUUGCUCCAAGGACACAAUCAGCAUCAUUACCCCAUUCUCCUCAAAGCACAUUCCAUUCAUUUUCUUCUUCAAGGCAGUGUUUUUUAUCCCCAUUCCACAAAUGAGGAGAUGAAGAUUCAGACAGAGCAAGAAAUUUUUCAAGGUAGCGAUUCACCCUCUGAUUCUCUGGACUAGAGUCAUCCUGUGGAAGCUCUGCCUCCCUCCUCUGGUCUCUCUCUUUCCCGCAUCCACUUUCCUCAAACACGUGUCACCUCUGUUUCAUUCUCUGGCCACCUACCCCCACCAUCCUUUCUUGGCUCAGAUCUGAAGUACUCCAGACUACCAGAUUACGUAAAAAUUCAAAGGCAUGAGAAAAUGGCAAGCAUGGAAACAAAUUCUUGGUAGAGAUGAGUGGCAACCUCAAAAAGAAGCCUCCUCUCCCCAUAAAUUCCUCAGUGCCCCAUCAAUCUCCAUCAAUCCAUACAAGACCAGCCUCACUCUGACCACCCGGGUCUUCCACAUACUAUUGUUUUCUGCAACUUGAACAAAAUAAUGGAUUGUAGUUGAUAUUCUCCAGGGGAUUUGACUACCCUCACAUAAAAUCUCUAGUUAAAAAGAGCUGAUUUAAGUCAUACAUACAAAAACAGCAUGAUAGCAUGCAAUGUUUAUCAAACCUGAGUGGAAAAGGAUUGCCUGGAAGGCUUUUUGAAAAUUGUAUCCAUUCUCAUCUCUACUGAUGGUGCCUGAGUAGGUCUGGGCAGAAUUCUUGGAGUGUCAGGGGAUUCCUGAAGGAGGUCAACAGGAAUCUCACUGGCGAAAGAAGAACUGACUUUGGAUUUAGACAGACCUUGGUUCAGACCUUACCUUUGCCAUAUGCAAACAUUAGAAUUUUGAAAGAAUUGCUCAUUUUAAUUUGACUUUUCAUUUCAUUUUGAAAAUAAAAACUUCCCUUUUCAUUUUAUUUUGACUUUCAGUUUUUUCUCUUAGAAAACAAAUCAAAAUGAAACCUACCUCAAGGCAUUGUUGCCAGACCCAAAUAAAAUCAAUUACAUUUCAUGAAAUAAAAUAAUCAUCCUAUGUUGGUUUUCAAAUAAAUGGAAAGUUGCUUUUUUCACGUCAGAGUGAAUAUUUUAUAAAAGUAUAAUUACACAUAAAGGAAAAUAUAAUACAUUGAGAAAGUGGUUGUUUUAUUUAGUUUGAGAAUUACAUGCUAUUAAUGUAUUUGUAUCAUUAGAAAUUUUGCAGAGAUCCCUACAGAAAAUAAUUAUAACAAUUUCCUUUUAUUUCAACUUCGACAAUGUGGUAGCAGGUAUCCUGAAGGUGCUGCCUCUGACACCUCCUGGAAAUUCUGUGUGCAUGACUAGAAGCAUUAUUUGAAUGCUUGGCUGAGUUCCGGAGAGGGACUCUGAGCAGCCAGAGGGAAGAACAAAGUGUCGGGAGAUACUGGGAGGACACAGGAAUGCAGGGGACAGGAAUGCUUUUCCAAUUUGUGCAUUGGGGAAUUGGGGGCAAUCACCACAGGAGACAAAAGUUGGGUGCUUGAAUCCUUGGGUCAGAAAUCAAAACUUACUCCCACCUUCUGCUCCACCUACCCAACUAAGCCUGGCCCUGGCUGGGCUACACCCUCACUGAAAAGUAUGCAAGAAAAAAACCUGCCUACUAGCUCAGAGGGCUGGAAUGAAUCCCAGGCUGUGUCUACGUGGGUGUCAGCGGGGAUUGAGUAAAAUACAGGCGGCGGGAACUUCCCUGAACAUUUGUUACCAUGGACCUAACUCAUAAAGGAUUAGGGCUGGAACUGAGAUUAUCAAGGUUGUGAACCUCUGGCGCACCUGCUGGAAACACAUGCAAACCACUCCUGAAAAAUGAACUCCCUGGCAUCCCCACACCCCAAAUUCAUGUGGAACAAGUAUGCUUAAAAUGCUUAAAGACGUUUUAAAAAGGAAACGUAGUUGUCAGAAAAGACAAAGGAUGCUUCAAAAUACAAGAUAGAUUUUAGAAAAAAAUCAAAUGGAACCCUUUAAAAAUGUAAUCGUUGAAAUUGGGAUAAUUCAAAUGAGAGGAACAGCACAUAUGAUGCCCAUGAAAAAAAGAAUUAAUGGGUGGUAGAAUAGAUUAGAAUAAUUUAUCCCAUAUUGAACAAAAAGAGAUACAGAGAUUUUACCUCAUAGUUUACCUGUUAGAAACCUCAUAGUUUACCUGUUAGAAACCUCAUAGGUUACCUGUUAUAAACCUACCUCUAAUUAGAGGACCAAAGAAAGAAAACAGAAAAAAGUGGAAGAGAACCAAUAUUCAUAGAAAUAAUAAAUAUUUUUUCCCACAACUUAUGAAAGAAUGGAGUCUGGAGAAUCAGGAAUCUUAGUAAGUCCUAAGAAAAAUAAGUCCUAUUGAGUACAUACCUAAACUCAUUACAGUGAAAUUACAUGCUACCCAAUACAAGACAUGAUUAAACACACACACACACACACACACACACACACACACACACACACACCCUGAGAUAAAACAGACUCCCAAUAAAGAAAAACAAAUUAGUCUGAUAGCAGACUUCUCAACAGUCAUCAGGGAGGCUGGGGUUUACCUUGACUGCUUAAAUUAAAGUCCAUUCCCAAGGACAUCUCAAAUGGCCAAGUAACCAGUCCCUGCUUGUUUAUAGAGUGUGGAAGUUGUUUAGAUUUGCUAUGGACCACCUCUCUACCUCCACCUCACUGAGCUCUGAGGCAAAUGGAUUCCCCUAUUGUAAACUAGGAAUGAGUGUCUGAAAGAAGCCUUUUCUGAUUCCCUGUAAAAGUUCAUUCAUCAGGAGGAAGGGGAGUCAUUCCAGCCUUCACUGCCUGUGGACGGCAACAACUUCACUGUGGAAGACGCCAGUAGAGUCUGGACACAGCUGACCGUAAUGUUUAUUCAAUCAAUGACUG